Oryza sativa Japonica Group (Japanese rice) is the source of this 205-nucleotide microRNA precursor. It matches the Rfam family "MIR812 microRNA precursor family". NCBI's taxonomy places the organism in Eukaryota, Viridiplantae, Streptophyta, Magnoliopsida, Poales, Poaceae. The record is from Rfam.
AAAAAGAUAAACCCUAGGUUUUCAUGUUCAACUUUGACUGUCCGUCUUAUAUGAAAUUUUUUUAUAAUUCGUAUUUUCAUUAUUGUUAGAUGAUAAAACAUGAUUAAUAUUUUAUGCGUGACUUGUCUUUUUAAUUUUUUUCAUAAUUUUUUUAAAUAAGACGGACAGUCAAACGUUGGACACGGAAACUAGGGUUUGUCUUUUU